UUUAUGGUAAUAUUGAAUUAAGUUUUAAUACUACUUAUGUAACUGUAAUGUAUGCUUUGUUAUCAAAAUUAAAAAACAAUUGAGUACUGUAAUAAAACAAAAUUGUCUAUCUAACCUAGGGGUGUCCAACCUUUUGUGAAAACUUCGCCAUAUCAUGUAAGUAAAAUUUGUUGGCCACAUACAUUUAAUUUUUAAUUUUUACCAUAGGGAAU
Cinara cedri is the source of this 212-nucleotide non-coding RNA. The record is from the annotation of a GenBank genome assembly. Lineage: Eukaryota; Metazoa; Arthropoda; Insecta; Hemiptera; Aphididae.